CCUACGGGAGGCAGCAGUGGGGAAUAUUGGACAAUGGGCGAAAGCCUGAUCCAGUAAUGCCGCGUGAGUGAUGAAGGCCUUAGGGUUGUAAAGCUCUUUUACCAGGGAUGAUAAUGACAGUACCUGGAGAAUAAGCUCCGGCUAACUCCGUGCCAGCAGCCGCGGUAAUACGGAGGGAGCUAGCGUUGUUCGGAAUUACUGGGCGUAAAGCGUACGUAGGCGGUUAUUCAAGUCAGAGGUGAAAGCCUGGAGCUCAACUCCAGAACUGCCUUUGAAACUAGAUAGCUAGAAUCUUGGAGAGGUGAGUGGAAUUCCGAGUGUAGAGGUGAAAUUCGUAGAUAUUCGGAAGAACACCAGUGGCGAAGGCGACUCACUGGACAAGUAUUGACGCUGAGGUACGAAAGCGUGGGGAGCAAACAGGAUUAGAUACCCUGGUAGUCCACGCCGUAAACGAUGAUAACUAGCUGUUCGGGCUCUACGAGCUUGAGUGGCGCAGCUAACGCAUUAAGUUAUCCGCCUGGGGAGUACGGUGCAAGNUUAAAACUCAAAUGAAAUUGACGGNUUGAGCGNGCGAGACGACACGAGGAGAGG
Molecule: ribosomal RNA, 591 nt
Filed under: uncultured bacterium
Lineage: Bacteria
Description: bacterial SSU rRNA
Rfam family: Bacterial small subunit ribosomal RNA
Source: RNAcentral